This 261-nucleotide ribosomal RNA is filed under the name uncultured Anoxybacillus sp. RNAcentral describes it as "partial 16S ribosomal RNA". It matches the Rfam family "Bacterial small subunit ribosomal RNA", at positions 1120 to 1382 of the family's 1533-position model. The record is from RNAcentral. Lineage: Bacteria; Bacillati; Bacillota; Bacilli; Caryophanales; Anoxybacillaceae.
AGCAUUCAGUUGGGCACUCUAAGGUGACUGCCGGCUAAAAGUCGGAGGAAGGUGGGGAUGACGUCAAAUCAUCAUGCCCCUUAUGACCUGGGCUACACACGUGCUACAAUGGGCGGUACAAAGGGUCGCGAACCCGCGAGGGGGAGCCAAUCCCAAAAAGCCGCUCUCAGUUCGGAUUGCAGGCUGCAACUCGCCUGCAUGAAGCCGGAAUCGCUAGUAAUCGCGGAUCAGCAUGCCGCGGUGAAUACGUUCCCGGGCCUU